RNAcentral lists this unclassified non-coding RNA (374 nucleotides) under Hevea brasiliensis (rubber tree). The record is from RNAcentral. Lineage: Eukaryota; Viridiplantae; Streptophyta; Magnoliopsida; Malpighiales; Euphorbiaceae.
GUUGUGCUAUUUGUUGAGUUAGGUUGGUGGUGUAACGCCAAAGAAGGGUGGAACAGAACACUUGGGGCUUCCUGUUUUUAACACAGUUGCUGAAGCCAAAGCUGAAACGAAGGCCAAUGCAUCAGUUAUUUACGUUCCCCCACCAUUUGCUGCAGCAGCUAUCUUGGAGGCAAUGGAAGCCGAGUUAGAUCUUGUUGUUUGUAUAACGGAAGGAAUCCCACAACAUGAUAUGGUGCGAGUUAAGGCUGCUUUAAACAAACAAUCUAAAACUAGAUUGAUUGGCCCUAAUUGCCCUGGCAUUAUCAAGCCUGGAGAAUGUAAAAUUGGAAUUAUGCCCGGAUACAUCCACAAACCUGGUCGCAUUGGCAUUGUAU